GAUGAACGCUGACAGCAUGCUUAACACAUGCAAGUCUACUUGAAUUUGGGUUUUUUCACUUAGAUUUGGGUGGCGGACGGGUGAGUAACGCGUAAAGAACUUGCCUCACAGUUAGGGACAACAUUUGGAAACGAAUGCUAAUACCUGAUAUUAUGAAUAUAUGGCAUCAUAUAAUUAUGAAAGCUAUAAGCGCUGUGAGAGAGCUUUGCGUCCCAUUAGCUAGUUGGAGAGGUAACGGCUCACCAAGGCGAUGAUGGGUAGCCGGCCUGAGAGGGUGAACGGCCACAAGGGGACUGAGACACGGCCCUUACUCCUACGGGAGGCAGCAGUGGGGAAUAUGGGACAAUGGACCAAGAGUCUGAUCCAGCAAUUCUGUGUGCACGAUGACGUUUUUCGGAAUGUAAAGUGCUUUCAGUUGGGAAGAAAAAAAUGACGGUACCAACAGAAGAAGUGACGGCUAAAUACGUG
RNAcentral lists this ribosomal RNA (468 nucleotides) under uncultured bacterium. RNAcentral's name for it is "partial 16S ribosomal RNA". It matches the Rfam family "Bacterial small subunit ribosomal RNA", at positions 28 to 507 of the family's 1533-position model. The record is from RNAcentral.